CAGCAGCCGCGGUAAUACGUAGGUGGCAAGUGUUGUCCGGAAUUACUGGGCGUAAAGCGUGCGUAGGUGGUGGUUUAAGUCCGUUGUGAAAGCCCUGGGCUCAACCUGGGAAUUGCAGUGGAUACUGGGUCACUAGAGUGUGGUAGAGGAUAGUGGAAUUUCCGGUGUAGCAGUGAAAUGCGUAGAGAUCGGAAGGAACAUCUGUGGCGAAGGCGACUAUCUGGGCCAACACUGACACUGAGGCACGAAAGCGUGGGGAGCAAACAGGAUUAGAUACCCCGGUAGUCCCUGUCUCUUAUAC
RNAcentral lists this ribosomal RNA (301 nucleotides) under uncultured bacterium. RNAcentral describes it as "partial 16S ribosomal RNA". It matches the Rfam family "Bacterial small subunit ribosomal RNA", at positions 509 to 807 of the family's 1533-position model. The record is from RNAcentral.